Felis catus (domestic cat) is the source of this 1351-nucleotide long non-coding RNA. RefSeq lists it as uncharacterized. The transcript has 5 exons. Lineage: Eukaryota; Metazoa; Chordata; Mammalia; Carnivora; Felidae. The record is from RefSeq and is a predicted model, not a curated record.
ACUCGUGAGGUCACGACCUGAGCUGAGGUCAGCCGCUCAAGGGACUGAGCCACCCAGGCGCCCCACCGCUACGGUCUUAAGGCAGAAUUUCUUCUUCUCCAGGAAACCACACGUUUCCCCCCGUAAGGCCUUCAACUGAUUGGAUGAGUCACCUUCUUAACUUAAGGGUAACUGAUCACAGGUGUUCACCACAUCUACAAAUUACCAUCAUGGCAACAGGUGGAGUAGUGUUUGAUUACACACGUGGGCGCUCUAAGCUCGCCACGUUAACACUAAAGACCAAUCAUCACACGGUCCCAUGAGGGGGAGGCUUCUCCCAAUUUACAGAUGGAACAAGAGAGGCUUCGAGAAGUCAAGUAAAGUGCCCGUGGGCGGAGGAGUGGUGUGGGUCAGAGUCAAGUUCUGUCCUUGGUUCUGUGUAGCUCCAAAGCCCACCCCUUAACUCCCGUAGCCUCUGCCUCUCGGGUCAGAAAUCUGAACAAAUCGGAGCCGGCUAUGCAGACUUUCUACUUUGCAAGAAGGGCUUUGGGGAGGAAGUAUUUCAGCUUCCUUCUGAGGUAGCGUUUGCUUUUCCUUCUGGCCUUUCUUCCCAUGGCUCCUCGGAUUGCUCCUAGCCUCCACGCCAAACUGGCCAAGUGGCUUCCUUGCCUACUCGCAAAAUGAUAAAGACAAUGUAAACUGCUCUCUUCCUCUCUUGAAAGAGCUUUCUUCCCAUCAGUUAGAAGUGGGAGGAAGAACGAACGAAAACAGAUGAGGAAACUGAGGCCCAGAGAGGGGAUUUCGGAUCAUUCAAGAUGGACUCAAGCGGUUGCCAAGGCAACAGUUUUACAGUCGUCACUGCCAUGGAAACCCUUUCUGUGGCAUAAUAUAAAUAUUUUCCUUUAAGAAUGAGACAGGGAGAUAUAAGAGCCCAAGAGAUGGAGGUGGGGGGAGCAAAAAAUGUCGACAAAAAUAGCCCAUAGUCCUGAAGUGGAGAGAGGAUGGAUCGAGAAGAACACAGCACAACUUCUGGGAUAUUCCUGCCGACGAUGUAUAACCUGGAUCUAAUCAGGAGAAAAUAUCAGACAAGCUAAACUGAGGGUCAUUCUGCAAAGUAACUAGCCUGGAAUUUUCAAACGUGUUGAGGCUUGAAAGUUAAGGAAAGAUUGAGCAGCUGUACCAGAUUGAAGACUAAAGACACAGGACAACUAAAUGCAAUGCAUGAUCCCGGACUGAAUUCUUUCACUAUAAAAGAGACAUUAUAUGGGGCGCCUGGGUGGCGCAGUCGGUUAAGCGCCCGACUUCAGCCAGGUCACGAUCUCGCGGUCCGUGAGUUCGAGCCCCGCGUCGGGCUCUGGGCUGAUGGCUCAGA